Long non-coding RNA from Etheostoma spectabile (orangethroat darter), 118 nucleotides. RefSeq lists it as uncharacterized. The transcript has 3 exons. NCBI's taxonomy places the organism in Eukaryota, Metazoa, Chordata, Actinopteri, Perciformes, Percidae. The record is from RefSeq and is a predicted model, not a curated record.
CAUACAAACCAAUAGGGUGUCGGAAUGGUUUAUGUUUAUACUUCUCAUCCAAUCACAAUCAAAUUCACUCUAUCCGGAUGGCAUGAUUUAUCUGGAUAGGUUUUUUGUGUGUGUGUGU